UAGGGAAUCUUCCACAAUGGACGCAAGUCUGAUGGAGCAACGCCGCGUGAGUGAAGAAGGUUUUCGGAUCGUAAAGCUCUGUUGUUGGUGAAGAAGGAUAGAGGUAGUAACUGGCCUUUAUUUGACGGUAAUCAACCAGAAAGUCACGGCUAACUACGUGCCAGCAGCCGCGGUAAUACGUAGGUGGCAAGCGUUGUCCGGAUUUACUGGGCGUAAAGCGAGCGCAGGCGGAAGAAUAAGUCUGAUGUGAAAGCCCUCGGCUUAACCGGGGAACUGCAUCGGAAACUGUUUUUCUUGAGUGCAGAAGAGGAGAGUGGAAUUCCAUGUGUAGCGGUGGAAUGCGUAGAUAUAUGGAAGAACACCAGUGGCGAAGGCGACUCUCUGGUCUGCAACUGACGCUGAGGCUCGAAAGCAUGGGUAGCGAACAGG
RNAcentral lists this ribosomal RNA (429 nucleotides) under bacterium. Its description in RNAcentral is "partial 16S ribosomal RNA". It matches the Rfam family "Bacterial small subunit ribosomal RNA", at positions 355 to 776 of the family's 1533-position model. The record is from RNAcentral.